Small nuclear RNA from Sphaerodactylus townsendi, 117 nucleotides. RefSeq annotates it as U5 spliceosomal RNA. Lineage: Eukaryota; Metazoa; Chordata; Lepidosauria; Squamata; Sphaerodactylidae. The transcript has a single exon. The record is from RefSeq and is a predicted model, not a curated record.
AUACUCUGGUUCCUCUUCAGAUCAUAUAAAUCCUUUGUCUUUUACUAAAGAUUUCCGUAGAGAGGAACAUUUAUGAAUGUCACAUCUUGCUGAUUGUAUUUACUCACUCUGUGUAAU